Molecule: ribosomal RNA, 497 nt
Filed under: uncultured bacterium
Lineage: Bacteria
Description: partial 16S ribosomal RNA
Rfam family: Bacterial small subunit ribosomal RNA
Source: RNAcentral
GAUGAACGCUGGCGGCGUGCCUAAUACAUGCAAGUCGAGCGAACGGACGAGAAGCUUGCUUCUCUGAUGUUAGCGGCGGACGGGUGAGUAACACGUGGAUAACCUACCUAUAAGACUGGGAUAACUUCGGGAAACCGUAGCUAAUACCGGAUAAUAUUUUGAACCGCAUGGUUCAAAAGUGAAAGACGGUCUUGCUGUCACUUAUAGAUGGAUCCGCGCUGCAUUAGCUAGUUGGUAAGGUAACGGCUUACCAAGGCAACGAUGCAUAGCCGACCUGAGAGGGGGAUCGGCCACACUGGAACUUAGACACCGUCCAGACUCCUACGGGAGGCAGCAGUAGGGAAUCUUCCGCAAUGGGCGAAAGCCUGACGGGACAACGCCGCGUGAGUGAUGAAGGUCUUCCGAUCCUAAAACUCUGUUAUUAGGGAAGAACAUAUGUGUAAGUAACCGUGCCCAUCUUGACCGUUCCUAAUCAGAAAGCCACGGCUAACUACCUG